Molecule: long non-coding RNA, 206 nt
Filed under: Glycine max (soybean)
Lineage: Eukaryota; Viridiplantae; Streptophyta; Magnoliopsida; Fabales; Fabaceae
Description: long non-coding RNA (GMAX_LNC002772)
Source: RNAcentral
AGAGUACAACCUGAACUCUCUGGAAAUUUGAAAGGAAAAUAAAUUUAGUGGAGAUCAUAAACAAAAUGGAAGAUUGAAUGGAGUCACCUAUGUUACAAGUAGCUGUGGCAUUUAGCAUAUUUUAUUGAUCAUGUGAUUAGUAUAACUAUGUUCCAAGUAGGUAUACCAUUCGGUAUUGGAUUGAACUUCUUAAGAAAAGUCGCAAG